UGGSGGGAUAACAAGCUGAGCGGACAGAGGAGCUCYCCAUGGCGGCGGACGGGAACACGUGGGACCUGCCUGAGACUGGGAUAACUCCGGGAAACCGGGGCUAAUACCGGAUGCUUGAUUGAACCGCAUGGUUCAAUUAUAAAAGGUGGCUUUUACUACCCUUACAUGGACCCCGGCGCAUUAGCUAGUUGGGAGGUAACGGCUCACCAAGGCAACAUGCGUAGCCACCUGARAGGGUGAUCGGCCACACUGGGACUGAACACGGCCCAACUCCUACGGGAGGCAGCAGUAGGGAAUCUUCCGCAAUGGACAAAGUCUGACGGAGCAACGCCGCGUGAGUGAUGAAGGUUUUCGGAUCGUAAAACUCUGUUGUUAGGGAAAACAAGUACCGUUCGAAUAGGGCGGUACCUUGACGGUACCUAACCARAAAGCCACGGCUAACUACGUGCCAGCCGCCGGGAAUACA
RNAcentral lists this ribosomal RNA (466 nucleotides) under Bacillus subtilis. RNAcentral's name for it is "bacterial SSU rRNA". It matches the Rfam family "Bacterial small subunit ribosomal RNA", at positions 81 to 525 of the family's 1533-position model. Lineage: Bacteria; Bacillati; Bacillota; Bacilli; Caryophanales; Bacillaceae. The record is from RNAcentral.